GAUAACUAUUCUCUAAACUCUUCUUUGUAGAUUAUAUUGUUAUAUUUGCUCAUCUAGGAGUUUAAAUCUUCUUCCUUUGUUUAUUAAACUACUUGUAAAGGUUGGUUGGUUAGCCCGCAAAACCAACGAAAUAGGUUGAUUGGUGAACCCGGAAAACCAAUUGUAAAGGUUCGUUGGUGAGCCCGUAAAACCAACAUAGGUUCGUUGGUGAGCCCGUAAAACC
RNAcentral lists this long non-coding RNA (223 nucleotides) under Phoenix dactylifera (date palm). Its description in RNAcentral is "long non-coding RNA (PDAC_LNC010256)". The record is from RNAcentral. Lineage: Eukaryota; Viridiplantae; Streptophyta; Magnoliopsida; Arecales; Arecaceae.